CCUACGGGUGGCAGCAGUGAGGAAUAUUGGUCAAUGGACGAGAGUCUGAACCAGCCAAGUAGCGUGAAGGAUGACUGCCCUAUGGGUUGUAAACUUCUUUUAUAUGGGAAUAAAACGUUCCACGUGUGGGAUUUUGUAUGUACCAUAUGAAUAAGGAUCGGCUAACUCCGUGCCAGCAGCCGCGGUAAUACGGAGGAUCCGAGCGUUAUCCGGAUUUAUUGGGUUUAAAGGGAGCGUAGGUGGAUUGUUAAGUCAGUUGUGAAAGUUUGCGGCUCAACCGUAAAAUUGCAGUUGAAAAUGGCAGUCUUGAGUACAGUAGAGGUGGGCGGAAUUCGAUGUGUAGCGGUGAAAUGCUUAGAUAUCACGAAGAACUCCGAUUGCGAAGGCAGUUCACUGGACUGCAACUGACACUGAGGCUCGAAAGUGUGGGUAUCAAACAGGAUUAGAUACCCUAGUAGUC
RNAcentral lists this ribosomal RNA (460 nucleotides) under uncultured bacterium. RNAcentral's name for it is "partial 16S ribosomal RNA". It matches the Rfam family "Bacterial small subunit ribosomal RNA", at positions 338 to 795 of the family's 1533-position model. The record is from RNAcentral.